This 1337-nucleotide long non-coding RNA is filed under the name Carica papaya (papaya). RNAcentral describes it as "long non-coding RNA (CPAP_LNC004152)". The record is from RNAcentral. Lineage: Eukaryota; Viridiplantae; Streptophyta; Magnoliopsida; Brassicales; Caricaceae.
CAGGUAAUUGUUAACUAUAUACAUACAUAUAUAUAUAUAUAUAUAUAGAGAGAGAGAGAGAGAGAGAGAGAAUAGGGUCCUACUGAUGAUAAUAGAUUUAAUGAAUGAUAAUUAUAUAUGCAGGUUGUGUUUUACAAGAGACUUGCUGGAGUUUUCUUCACGGAUUCCAUUCCUAAAGCUCCAUCAGGCAAAAUCCUAAGAAAAGAAUUGAGAGCGAGAUUAGCAGCUGCUCUUCCCAAUUAAGACAAGCACAUAUUAAAAGCAAUUUUUUUUUUUUUUUUUUUUGUAUAAGCACUUCUUUUUUCUUCAUGGAGGCAAUACGCACACACAUAUAUAUACACACACACACAAAUUACUUUGCCCUUGAAAAAAAAUUGAUUAUGAAGCUCUAUGAGGAUCCCUUCGGGAGGCAAAGUGCUUAGCUAUUGUCCCUAUGUAUUUUAUAUCUACUAUGAUGAAGGUAAAUCUAUAGUUAAUAUUGUAAAAGGAUUUGUAGGAAAAGAAAAAGGUGCAAUUUUUUUGACCAUAAAAAUACAAAAGAUUUUUUUCUACGAACAUAUUAAUUAACCACCUAUACGGUGCCGUUCUGUUAGUUACAUUGGGCUCAUCUUUCUAUGAGCCUCAAGCCCAUAUAUGUACAACUAUUUGUGGGCUUUGUUUGAACCCACAGUUCAAUGGACUCCUAAUGUCAACUUUAUUAUGAUUAAAUUGUAUUUGGGGCAAAAAAUAAUUUUCUAAUUUUUUUUAUUUGUAUCUUCAGGUUUGAAACAGAAAAUAUUUCCUAAAAUAGAAAUAAAAAUUACAGUCUGGUUGAUCAACAAAAUAGAUAGAUAUAUAUAUAUAUAUAAACUAUUUCCUAUAAAACUACAAAGCAAAGGCUCCACUAAAAUGACAGGAGUGGUGACAUUUCAUCUUCCAUUAGCCAACGUGUCAAUAUCGAGGGGUGCCCUUUUGUCUGCCACCCUUCGUGGAACUUACUUUCUCUCUAACCUCUCUUCAAUUUUUACAAAUAUAUAUAUAUUAUAAACAUAUAAAUAUGUUUAAUAAUUAAACAACACAAUCAAUUUUCUAGUGAAAUAUAAAUGGAAUACCUAGUCUAAUUUUUAUCAUUCACAGGAAAACAAAGAUUAAUCAAUAAAGUUACUGCAAUAAUUUGACAAUAAUUAACAAUGAUUAAUUUAUAAAAUUAAUUAAUAAAGAAUUAAUGUCAUGCAUUAUAACUUUUCACUCUUCGUUUUUCAAUAAUUUGACUAUAAUUUUCAAAAAUAUUAUACGGUUUUUUAUAUACCAAUAUAGAAGGGUAGUUCAAAAGCUAGCUUCUAUAUAUUCACCAUUUG